This 372-nucleotide ribosomal RNA is filed under the name uncultured organism. RNAcentral's name for it is "bacterial SSU rRNA". It matches the Rfam family "Bacterial small subunit ribosomal RNA", at positions 526 to 896 of the family's 1533-position model. The record is from RNAcentral.
CAGAGGUGCCAAGCGUUAGGCGGAAUCACUGGGCUUAAAGCGUGUGUAGGCGGAAUUCUAAGUACCUUGUGAAAUCCCACGGCUCAACCGUGGAACUGCUUGGUAUACUGGUUUUCUUGAGCCACUUAGGGGCUGUCGGAACAAACGGUGGAGCGGUGAAAUGCGUAGAUAUCGUUUGGAACGCCAAAGGUGAAAACAGACAGCUGGGAGUGUGCUGACGCUGAGACACGAAAGCCAGGGGAGCGAACGGGAUUAGAUACCCCGGUAGUCCUGGCCCUAAACGAUGUCGACUAGAUCGUGGCGGCUCUGACGCCUUCACGGUCGAAGCAAAAGUGCUAAGUCGACCGCCUGGGAAGUACGGUCGCAAGGCUA